CUUUUCUAGUCGGAGGCUCGGUGGAUUAAACUUAAAUACCAGUUAGAUAGAAGGCUGCAGAGGAGAAUGGGAGGCAGCCUAUGCUUCCUUUGUGUGAAUCCAACAAUCCAGCCUUCUAGUAGAAACCACAGUGUAGCCAUAGCAGGCUACCUGUGUCUGUGUACCACACCCACACACCCCAGCUUGAGUUUCUAAGAUGCAGAAUAGAGGGAAGGGGCGGCUCUGGAGUCAGGAAGACAAGUCUUCAGGGCUUCUUGCUUUAUAAGUGAUAGGAACAUCUUGUCAGAGUCCAUGCUAAGCUAAUUUUUAACCUCAGCUUAAAAGUCUUUAAGCUCACCACAUUUCUCCCCAAGAGUAGCUCAAGCGUUGAGAAUCUGUUUUACAUAAUGUGACCUCAGAUUAUAUUAAAAUACCUUAGACUCACCCCUCAGUGAUGCCAGGGGCCAGCUUUUCAAAUGCUGAACUCAUCCAUGCGUCUCCUUGCUGUUGGUGACCUCAUGCUGAUUGUGAUGUUGGUUUGGAGCAGUAAGCUAAAGGCCCUGACUUAAGGUUGUAGUCUUCCCUGAAGAACACGGAGGUACCAGAUGCACAGUUCAAGUGUAGUGUGUCUUUCCUGAGUUUAUUGCCAGUUCCUUACUCCACACCUUCAUCUUGGUGUGUUCUCGGCAGGGAUCAGUGAAAGCACUGUCAGGACUCACAAAGCGGCCCAGAAAACAGAAGCUGUACUUAUAGCAUAAGCAGGAUGAAGUGCUGAAGGAGAGGAGCAGAUAAUAAUGACAUGGGAGUUACACCAAAGGACCAAUGACCACGCCUGGGAGUGUGUGUGUGUGUGUGUGUGUGUGUGUGUGUGUGUGUGGUGCCUUGGAGGUAUCCCAACAAGCGCUUGAUAGUGGAGAGAAUAUGGUGUGUACAGAGAGGGCCUGGUAGGGAGACUUGGAAGCAUGGAAGCAGAGAAUUGCAUGGCUGUGUUCAGGUCACAGGAAGAAAGAUGCAUGGUUUCACCAACACAAGGACACUUAGGUCAAGAGGAGAUAAAGAGUUAGAUCCUGCUCAGUUACAGGCGAUCACCUCCCCAAAGGAGUCUGCGUCCCCAUUACCAGCGGGUUCUCACUUCACACCGGGAGAGAGAAGCUGGGACCGCAACUACCAACUCCUGCCGACUGGAUCCUAGGUGAGCCGUUGACU
RNAcentral lists this long non-coding RNA (1185 nucleotides) under Mus spicilegus (steppe mouse). Its description in RNAcentral is "lncRNA (ENSMSIG00000027947.1)". Lineage: Eukaryota; Metazoa; Chordata; Mammalia; Rodentia; Muridae. The record is from RNAcentral.